UGGGGAAUAUUGGACAAUGGGCGCAAGCCUGAUCCAGCCAUGCCGCGUGAGUGAUGAAGGCCCUAGGGGUGUAAAGCUCUUUCACCGGUGAAGAUAAUGACGGUAACCGGAGAAGAAGCCUCGGCUAACUUCGUGCCAGCAGCCGCGGUAAUACGAAGGGGGCUAGCGUUGUUCGGAUUUACUGGGCGUAAAGCGCACGUAGGCGGACUUUUAAGUCAGGGGUGAAAUCCCGGGGCUCAACCCCGGAACUGCCUUUGAUACUGGAAGUCUUGAGUAUGGUAGAGGUGAGUGGAAUUCCGAGUGUAGAGGUGAAAUUCGUAGAUAUUCGGUGGAACACCAGUGGCGAAGGCGGCUCACUGGACCAUUACUGACGCUGAGGUGCGAAAGCGUGGGGAGCAAACAGG
This 404-nucleotide ribosomal RNA is filed under the name Actinomycetes bacterium. RNAcentral's name for it is "Actinobacteria bacterium partial 16S ribosomal RNA". It matches the Rfam family "Bacterial small subunit ribosomal RNA", at positions 355 to 776 of the family's 1533-position model. The record is from RNAcentral. Lineage: Bacteria; Bacillati; Actinomycetota; Actinomycetes.